This 495-nucleotide ribosomal RNA is filed under the name Triticum aestivum (bread wheat). Its description in RNAcentral is "partial small subunit ribosomal RNA". The record is from RNAcentral. Lineage: Eukaryota; Viridiplantae; Streptophyta; Magnoliopsida; Poales; Poaceae.
AUGCCUCUGGUGGUGCUUGGACAUGGGUGGGAGCGGUGGCGGCGGUUUCGUCAAGUGCACUGCCGUGUCGUGGGUGACGGCGCCGUGGGCAGGAGUGCAGGACCUACAUACUCAUUACCGUCGGCGGAAGCGCCGCAGGGUCGAGAGCCCGGCGGAGCCCGAAGAGCACGACUGUCAACCUUGAGUACACCAUCAUAUCGCCACAACAGAGAUAACCAUCGAGGCAUCGACCGGGCGACGCUUCCAGAUAUAGAGCGUGUUUGCAUGGUUGUCCGCGGCGACGAAGGCGGCGUCGACGCCAAGAUCAGGUGUCAAGCCGGCGACCAUGGGACGGUGAGGCAUCUGACGGGCGCCCGGGCACGCUGGCACAUGCCUUCUUGCCGACCGACAGACGGCGGUUCCACGCCGGGAUGCCUCAGAGACGUGGAUGUCCGGCGGCGACUCAUGUCGCACGCCUCGCUAUACGCGGCCGUCCACAUACCACGUGAAUCAUAA